Long non-coding RNA from Panicum virgatum (switchgrass), 279 nucleotides. RefSeq lists it as uncharacterized. The transcript has 2 exons. Lineage: Eukaryota; Viridiplantae; Streptophyta; Magnoliopsida; Poales; Poaceae. The record is from RefSeq and is a predicted model, not a curated record.
UAAAAGGUGCAAGUGUAUGAAUGGAUGGAUAGAUGGAUGAAUAUGGCUUACUCCUUGAGGAAUGUUCUACGAGAGAGAUCACCAAGACAUGGAGCAUUUAUUGAUGUAGAAUGGAUGGUGGUGCUAAUUCCUAGUGUAGAAAUAUAACAAAUGGAUGAGACGUGUACGUGCUUAUGAUCGAGAAAGCAUGAGGAGCAUCUUACUAGGGUCACCCAAUUUGACAAAACCCAACAGAAUAUCAAGCAGCAUAUGUAUAAGGGUUUUUCAUGGAAUAUGACA